CAAUCGGCCCUUUUCAGGGCCAACGAAUGGGCACUCAAGAGUUAUCU
Non-coding RNA from Aedes aegypti (yellow fever mosquito), 47 nucleotides. Lineage: Eukaryota; Metazoa; Arthropoda; Insecta; Diptera; Culicidae. The record is from Rfam.